CCUACGGGAGGCAGCAGUGAGGAAUAUUGGUCAAUGUGCGCUAGCCUGAACCAGCAACGUAGCGUGAAUGAUGAAUGCCCUCGGAUUUGUAAACUUCUUUUUUAUGGGAAUAAAUUGCAGUAUGUAUACUGCUUUGCAUGUACCUUAUGAAUAAGGAUCCGCUAGCUCCGUGCCAGCAGCCGCGGUAAUACGUCGGAUCCGAGCGUUAUCCGGAUUUAUUGGGUUUAAAGGGAGCGUAGGCUGGUUGUUAAGUCAGUUGUGAAAGUUUGCGGCUCAACCGUAAAAUUGCAGUUGAUACUGGCAGCCUUGAGUACAGUAGAGGUAGGCGGAAUUCGUGGUGUAGCGGUGAAAUGCUUAGAUAUCACGAAGAACUCCGAGUGCGAAGGCAGCUUGCUGGACUGUAACUGACGCUGAGGCUCGAAAGUGUGGGGAUCAAACAGGAUUAGAUACCCUUGUAGUC
This 460-nucleotide ribosomal RNA is filed under the name uncultured bacterium. RNAcentral's name for it is "partial 16S ribosomal RNA". It matches the Rfam family "Bacterial small subunit ribosomal RNA", at positions 338 to 795 of the family's 1533-position model. The record is from RNAcentral.